RNAcentral lists this ribosomal RNA (253 nucleotides) under uncultured bacterium. Its description in RNAcentral is "partial 16S ribosomal RNA". It matches the Rfam family "Bacterial small subunit ribosomal RNA", at positions 524 to 776 of the family's 1533-position model. The record is from RNAcentral.
UACGUAGGGUGCGAGCGUUGUCCGGAAUUACUGGGCGUAAAGAGCUCGUAGGUGGUUUGUCGCGUUGUUCGUGAAAACUCACAGCUUAACUGUGGGCGUGCGGGCGAUACGGGCAGACUAGAGUACUGCAGGGGAGACUGGAAUUCCUGGUGUAGCGGUGGAAUGCGCAGAUAUCAGGAGGAACACCGGUGGCGAAGGCGGCUCACUGGACCGGAACUGACGCUGAUGCGCGAAAGCGUGGGGAGCAAACAGG